This 72-nucleotide transfer RNA is filed under the name Thermoplasmata archaeon. RNAcentral describes it as "tRNA-Gly". It matches the Rfam family "tRNA". Rfam says of the family: Transfer RNA (tRNA) molecules are approximately 80 nucleotides in length. Their secondary structure includes four short double-helical elements and three loops (D, anti-codon, and T loops). Further hydrogen bonds mediate the characteristic L-shaped molecular structure. tRNAs have two regions of fundamental functional importance: the anti-codon, which is responsible for specific mRNA codon recognition, and the 3' end, to which the tRNAs corresponding amino acid is attached (by aminoacyl-tRNA synthetases). tRNAs cope with the degeneracy of the genetic code in two manners: having more than one tRNA (with a specific anti-codon) for a particular amino acid; and 'wobble' base-pairing, i.e. permitting non-standard base-pairing at the 3rd anti-codon position. RNAcentral also lists the same sequence under 2 other names. Lineage: Archaea; Methanobacteriati; Thermoplasmatota; Thermoplasmata. The record is from RNAcentral.
GCGGGAAUAGCUCAGUGGUAGAGCAUCACCUUGCCAAGGUGAGGGUCGCGGGUUCGAAUCCCGUUUCCCGCU